ACGGGAGGCAGCAGCUAAGAAUAUUCCGCAAUGGAGGAAACUCUGACGGAGCGACGCCGCGUGGGCGAUGAAGGCCGGAAGGUUGUAAAGCCCUUUUAUGACAGAGGAAUAAGGACGGGAGGGAAUGCCCGUCCGGUGACUGUAGGUCAUGAAUAAGCACCGGCUAAUUACGUGCCAGCAGCCGCGGUAACACGUAAGGUGCAAGCGUUGUUCGGAAUCAUUGGGCGUAAAGGGCAUGUAGGCGGUCUGUCAAGCCAGGCGUGAAAGCCAGGGGCUCAACCCCUGAACUGCGCUUGGAACUGGCGGACUGGAGUCGCUGAGGGGGAACCGGAAUUCCUGGUGUAGGGGUGAAAUCUGUAGAUAUCAGGAAGAACACCGAUGGCGAAGGCAGGUUUCCAGCAGACGACUGACGCUGAGGUGCGAAGGUGCGGGGAGCAAACAGGAUUAGAUACCCUGGUA
This 459-nucleotide ribosomal RNA is filed under the name uncultured Treponema sp. RNAcentral's name for it is "partial 16S ribosomal RNA". It matches the Rfam family "Bacterial small subunit ribosomal RNA", at positions 341 to 792 of the family's 1533-position model. Lineage: Bacteria; Pseudomonadati; Spirochaetota; Spirochaetia; Treponematales; Treponemataceae. The record is from RNAcentral.